CUUUCGUAGCAAAAAGCCGCGUUCGGUCCUUUGGUUUGUUGUAAAGCAAAGACUUGUGCCCAGAGCCUCAGGGACUGAGGCGGAAGGUUUUAUGGCCUUCCAAGCUCCUCUCGGGAGGAUGAAGCUGAGUGGCUGCCCCGCGGUGUUAGCUGUAUUCAGGGAGGGGGGUCCCUGCUUUUUGAAAAGCUGCUGUUAGAAACUAUUAGAGCUGAGAGCUCACUGUACCUGAAUGAAAGCAAACAGCAGAGUAAAGCUGUAAGAAAGCAGCUUACUUCUGCCCAGGACCACUGAGGGAGCCAGUGCUGAGCCACUCUGGUUGCCUGAAUGUGCAACUGGCCAGCCCUCAGCAUGCGACCCCAUCUGCCUGCAAUGAGGGCCAAGUUACUUGUACCAAACAGCACCGCUGUUGCCGUGGGCCUGGGGAAAUUCUGGAAGUCCUUUAAUUAUCUCCAAGGCUGCUCCACGUUUCACAGGCCCAGGUCCUGCUCUGGUAGCCUCCAAAUACCAAUGCCAGACUUGUUUGGUCCCACAGGGUGGUCAGCAACUGGCUAAAUUGCAAAUCAGGCCCUGCACACCCAGCAGGCCCAGGACAGGACUGCAGAGAGCACAGGGCCGAGUGAGACCGCAGCUCAUGAGGUCCAUCAGUUCCAAACUCUGGGCAGGAGUCAGGACUCAUCUUCCAGACUGCAAACUCCUCUAUCUCCAUAAAAUGCUUAAACUGUAGUGUGCCUCUCCCUUAACUAACAUGGGCACCACAGAGCAGUGAUUACCCCAAACUGGCUAAUUUUUCAAGCAGGGCAAUUAUUGAUCCCCGGAGAGGCGUGCUUUGCAUCUCAUUUUUAAUCACUUUUUGUGCUGUGUAAAAAGAGGCAAGAAGCGGGGGAUUGCUGCUAGGAGUGAUGCUGGGAAGAGUCUGCUCCCUCUGCCUGACACUCUCAGGAAACUUUUUUCCAUCCUAGUAGAAGUUAAAGCCUGGGAAACAGCACUGUGUUAAUCUCAAUGAAGACAAAUUGACUCCAUACCUCAGCUAUAAAGGGAAAAUGCUAUGUUUCUCUGUCCUCUCAACUGCCUAAAGACUGUAUCAUCUGAUAUCUAUUUGCCCCACAUAGGAUUUGGAAGAGAGGGGCACCACUUUCUGCACCUAAUCCCAAAUAACCCAAACCCUUUGCCACUUGCAGACUAUGCUUGGCUGCUCCAAGGGUCACAAAAAACCUAAAGACUUUUAUUAAAUACUCACCAGGUAAUACACAGAAAUGUCCAGAGCCAACCCGCCAACCCCUCAAAUUGCUUUUUCGGUCCCCUGGAGUGACUUAUGCAACAGCCAUUCCCCUCAGAAAUUACAGAAACCUCUUCUCUGUCCCGAGUGAAACUUGAAAUCCCAGAAGUACAGCAAGUCUCUCCACUACUUGCUCCAUCUUUAGGCUUCUUCCACCAGUUUCGUGAGGAUUUCUGCUCCCUCUGAGGUAAUCACCAGGGUAUGUUCAAAUUGUGCCGAUCUGAAAUUCACAUUUAGCAGUUAUGAGGGGGAAAACACAUUCACCAUGCCUGGAAACUCAUCUAUUUGGGUUUUUUGGGCUGGCAGUGAUGAGUUCUAUGUCUUAGGAAAUACCAAAAAAUAAAAUCAGGCACCUUUUAUUGUCUACAGAAAUCGCAGUCCAUUUGUCCUCCAGAAUCUUAAAUUCAGGGGAUCCUUCCAUUAUUAUUGGCUCUGCAUCAAGAAAAACAAAACGUAUUCUAAAGUUAGUUGCAUUCCUGUGUGGAUUAUGAAACAAUCAAGAACAGGAGGUAUCUCAGCAGGUAGCUCCCCAUCCACACAGGUCCCAUCUCCCUGGGCUGGCAUUCUCUUGAUACACUAAAAUGUGAACUAAAAAGGAAGACAAAAUAGCAAGUUAGGAAGUUGCCCAUUCCUCUUUUGUAAAAGCAUGGAAUUUUAAUCAAGCUUUAAUUAAGACCGUGUGGAUAAUAACCAAAGCACCAACCACAUUUAUAAACAACAGAUAGUUUUAAAUAUUUGAAUUUUUUAAACAGGCUUAAAAUGUUCAUUAAAUCAGCAAAACAACAAUUUUCUUAUUUCCUUCUAAUUGCCGUGCCAUUUAGCCACACAGUGAGAACGAAGGCUUUUCCCCCAGCAGUUCUCCACGACUGGAAGUGAGCACGAUCAGUCUGCGGGGUGAGGCUCCGGCUGGUUACCGCCGCCGCAGUCCCCAAGCCCAACAGCAGCUCGGGAAGGCAGCAAAUGACUAAGUGCCACCAGGCUGCUCGGCUUCGGGGACACGAUCGCAUCCUUCUCACCCUCCUCAAAUUAAGUGUGCUGGCAGAGUCUCUGCCUUGCCAGAAAUAGGAGUCAAAUAUUAGCAAAAUUUAUAAUUAACAUUUCAUUCUUUAAAUCUUGUAAUUUGAAAAUUAUUUAAUCCAACUAGUUCCUAAUGCAUUUUUUAAAAUGAUAUUUUAAUCUAUUUCCUAAGAGGUCAAUCUCACCGACGUCCCCCUGUCUGCAUGGUUAUUUCUAUUUCCCAAUAAAGAAAUGUUACAGA
Agelaius phoeniceus (red-winged blackbird) is the source of this 2534-nucleotide non-coding RNA. The record is from RefSeq and is a predicted model, not a curated record. Lineage: Eukaryota; Metazoa; Chordata; Aves; Passeriformes; Icteridae.